AACGAACGCUGGCGGCAUGCCUAACACAUGCAAGUCGAACGAGACCUUCGGGUCUAGUGGCGCACGGGUGCGUAACGCGUGGGAACCUGCCCUUAGGUUCGGAAUAACUCCCCGAAAGGGGUGCUAAUACCGGAUAAUGUCUUCGGACCAAAGAUUUAUCGCCUUUGGAUGGGCCCGCGUUGGAUUAGCUAGUUGGUAGGGUAAAAGCCUACCAAGGCGACGAUCCAUAGCUGGUCUGAGAGGAUGAUCAGCCACACUGGGACUGAGACACGGCCCAGACCCCCAGGGGGGGGGGGGGGGGGGAAUAUGGGAAAAGGGGGGAAAGCCCUACACAACCAGGCCCGGGGGGGUGGGAGGGCGGGGGGGUUAAAAAGUUUUUUUCCCGGGGAGGAAAAGGAAGGGCCGGGAAAAAAAAGCCCCGGCUACCCCCGGG
Molecule: ribosomal RNA, 433 nt
Filed under: uncultured bacterium
Lineage: Bacteria
Description: partial 16S ribosomal RNA
Rfam family: Bacterial small subunit ribosomal RNA
Source: RNAcentral